AUUGACAAAAUUGAAAAAAAUUGUUUCGGAUUUGCAAAUUUUCAUUGUAGUUAUGAUAUUUACUUUAAAAAAAAAAUACCAAAUUGUUUCCAUGCUCUAAAAUUUCCAUUAAAUGCAACUUUUGACGAUUUGAAAACCUGAAAAUUAUAAAGCGUCUCAGACGCGAAAUCAGUUAUUUUUAGUCAGAAAUUGUGAAUGGGAUCCCAACUAGUAUACCAGAAUGCAGCCUGCGCAUGCGCGCUGCGCUUAUCCGCUUUUGGUUUACAAACAAUGCAUCUCAUUUCUGUGAUCGAAAAUAUAAAAAAAAGAGAAACAAAAGCCGGAGCCAGCGACAUCGCUCGAAUUUAAUCAAUCUUGGCGACAAGACUGAGUGUUUGCAGAACCAUAGGAGUAUCGUUGGAAGAGACGAAGACAGGGUAAUGGCUUAAACACACGAAUUGUAUUUAGGAAGACGUGCCGGCCAAACUAUUGCAAGUUUGACUGUUCAGCAUAAUGUUAGAACAAAAAACUCUUCACCUAUGCACGGUCAUCAGCCCCCGCCAGGUCCUGGCCUGUCAUUUGUGUCACAAGGAAGUACCACACCUGGUCAUGUGUCAGGAAUUGGAGAGAUAACAGCUUACUUAGAAGUAAAUUGAAGGCAGCCGACAAUUGGACGGUGGUGCCAAUCAAUGAAAAGAAGGGAUACACGUACAUGCACUGAGUACACAGAGAUCAUCAAGGAAAAAACCCUUCGAUCAAAGUUCCUUUUUGAUUCAGCUUAUCCAAAGCUAAUUGCCUCUACAAUUGCCCCUUAUAUAUCCACCUGCGGCUAAUGAGGAGCUGCAAUAUCCAAUAGGUCAAGGGCAAGCAACCCGGAAACAAUAUGAAGAUUUACUCAUACAAAUUGGUACAUGGUGUAUGUAACUAUGUUGUUUUAACUAACUUCAACAUACCAUUAUUAUGAAUUAAACAAGAUGUGUUUGUGAGACACUAUGUCCCCCUAUAUGAUGUUUGACAUUGUAGGAUGACCUUGACCUUGUGAAGGAUGACCUUGACCUUUCACCUCUCAAAAUGUGCAGCUCCAUGAGAUACACAUGCAUGCCAAAUAUCAAGUUGCUAUCUUCAAUAUUGCAAAAGUAUUCAUAAAAUAAGCGAUUUGGGCCACAUAUAUUUUACCUCUGACCUUGAAGGAUGACCUUGACCUUUCACCACUCAAAAUGUGCAGCUCCAUGAGAUGCACAUGCAUGCCAAAUAUCAAGUUGCUAUCUUCAAUAUUGCAAAAGUAUUUAUAAAAUGAGCGAUUUUGGCCACAUAUAAUUGACCUCUGACCUUGAAGGAUGACCUUGACCUUUCACCACUCAAAAUGUGCAGCUCCAUGAGAUACACAUGCAUGCCAAAUAUCAAGUUGCUAUCUUCAAUAUUGCAAAAGUAUUCAUAAAAUGAGCGAUUUUGGCCACAUAUAUUUGACCUCUGACCUUGAAGGAUGACCUUGACCUUUCACCACUCAAAAUGUGCAGCUUCAUGAGAUACACAUGCAUGCCAAAUAUGAAGUUGCUAUCUUCAAUAUAGCAAAAGUUAUUGCAAAAUGUUAAAGUUGGCGCAAACAGACCAACAGACCAACAGACAGACAGACAGGGCAAAAACAAUAUGUCCCCCACUACUAUAGUGGGGGACAUAAAAAUUGACAAAGCUGAAAUCAAUGAUAACUGAUUAUGGGUAGGAACAUGUGUGAAUUUGGCAGCAUGGUUUUAUAGGAUGUAUACCAUUGAGUAUAAAAGUGCAUGUGUGACCCUUGCUGUUUUUUCAGUCAGAAGAUGGCUUUAGUAUUGAAAUGAUGCUUGAAUUUAUUUGUGUAAUAUGAAGGCGUGACCAAAUGUGUGACAUUAUGGUCGACUGUCCUGUCAUCAUCAUGGUGAUAAAAUGUGAUUUUAAUAAGUGAACUGCUUAUAAACAUAGGGCAGAAAUAUCAUUGAUAAAAUACUGAUGAACAUAGCAUACAAGUGCCCUGAAAUGCCAUGAGAAUAUGUAUUUGAGUUUUAAGUGUGUACGGUAUUGUGAAUUUUGUUAAUUGUUUUGUUAUAAAAAUAUAGGAUCCAAAGUAUUCAAUCAUAGAUUACUCUGAAAAAGAAGAAUAAGUAAAAAACUUGUCUGGCAAAUAACUACAUAAACAAUGGGCCAAGUUCCAGAUUUUUUUGUCACAAGUCAAGACCAUUAACAAAAAUUGUUGACUCUUAUAGGUGUUAUGUAUCAUGAUUUGUGUUAAGUUUUUUAUGGGAGACCCAUGAUCAAACAUGGUGAAUUGUUUUGUUAUUACAAUAGAGGAUCCAAAGUAUUUGAUCAUAGGUCACUCUGAAACAGAAGAAUUUGUGAAAACCUUGUCUGGCAAAUAGCUAAAUAAACACUGGGCUCAGCAUUUUCCUGAUUUUUUGUCACAAGUAAAGACUAUGAAAAGGAAUUAUUGACUCUUUUAGGUAUAAGCUACCAUACUUAAUGUUGAGUGCGUGCUGCACACCACAUUUGUUUAUGUUCCAUUAACAGUGACAUCAAAGCACAAUGCUAUAUAUAGAUUAUGUAUUGUUUUCCAUUGUUUAUCAGUCUAUAAACAACCAUUUAUUGUAAUAGCCUUACAUAAACUGUCAUAAAGAUGAUAAAGUGUUGUUUAUCCAUAAAUAAAAAAUUAGUGGAAUUCAGAAAUAAUUUGAUCUGUCAAAUGUUGAAAGUUGGAAACAUUUAUUCAAAAUGUUAUCAAUUAUAGUUUUGUUUCAUGAAUAUAGAGUAUUAUGCUUUGUGUUCAUUAUGUUAUGGAUUUUGUUGUUUUGUUUUAAAAUGUUUUAAUAAAUAACAUGAAGAAAUAAGAAGCCAGUUUGUUCAAUUUUGAUUUAUUAUUACAUGUAUAUUACACAGCAAAACAUUACUGCAAGAAUGUUUAGUGAACACCUUAUUAUAAUACAUGUUGAGUUCAACACUGAACAAAAGAAUAUGCAUCAAUUAAAAACGACUCAUAAUACAUUAUUAUAUGAAACUGCAUCAUGAUUCAAAAAUUAAAGAGCAUAUAGACAGCUAAAACCUAAAUAGGUGAGCCUUGCCCUGGGAAAAUGGGGCUUAAUGCAUGUGCGUAAAUUGUCGUACGAGAUUAACAUGUGCUGAUCAUACCAAUCAGGCAGACAAUUGCUGCUUUAUUGUAUUUUUUGUUGAAAGGGAGAGAGAAAAUCCAGAUAAGGCGGAAAGUGUUGCCCCUGAUUAGCCUGUGCAGUCUGCACAGCCUAAUCUUGGACAACCUUAAGUACAUGCAUUAAACCCCCUUUUUCAAGAGCGAGGCUCAAAUAUUUAUUAAAUGAUUGAUUAAGUCUUCCACAUAACAUCUUUUAAGAAACUUUCAGUAAAACAUGUUUAUUUGAUGACAGGCACGGCAAAAUCAGUAGUAAAUUCAUAGUAUUAAUUUGUGUUAUAUUAUAAUACUUACAUAUUGUUGCUGGUUAUAAAUGUGGAAAAAGUUUGAA
Molecule: long non-coding RNA, 3479 nt
Organism: Dreissena polymorpha
Lineage: Eukaryota; Metazoa; Mollusca; Bivalvia; Myida; Dreissenidae
Exons: 3
Source: RefSeq, a predicted model, not a curated record